RNAcentral lists this ribosomal RNA (459 nucleotides) under uncultured bacterium. Its description in RNAcentral is "bacterial SSU rRNA". It matches the Rfam family "Bacterial small subunit ribosomal RNA", at positions 29 to 506 of the family's 1533-position model. The record is from RNAcentral.
AUGAACGUUGGCGGUGUGCCUAAUACAUGCAAGUCGAACGAAGAUGAUAGCAAUAUUGUCUUAGUGGCGAACGGGUGAGUAACGCGUUGGUGAUCUGCCCCGAAGUGUGGAAUAACAAUUCGAAAGAAUUGCUAAUACCGCAUGUGAUCUUGGAGAUUAGAACCUCUUUGAUUAAAGGAUUUAUUCGCUUCGGGAGGGGCCUGCGUCCCAUCAGCUAGUUGGUAGGGUAAUGGCCUACCAAGGCUUUGACGGGUAGGGGACCUGAGAGGGUGGCCCCCCGCAAUGGAACUGAAACACGGUCCAUACACCUACGGGUGGCAGCAGUAGGGAAUAUUGGUUAAUCUGGGAAACCGGGAACCAGCAACGCCGCGUGCACGAUGAAGGCCUUCGGGUUGUAAAGUGCUUUUUGAAAGGAUGAGGAAGGACAGUACUUUCAGAAUAAGCUUCGGCUAACUACGU